CUGAGGAGAGGGCAGAACGGGGAAACCAACCUCUGGUAAUGAAAAACUUUACAGUGAAAAUCGGGACGAGUGGAACGCGGCGGAUGGAGAAAAAGGUUUAAACCCCGUUGAAAACUUGCAAAAAGGUUUUGUUUUGUUUUUCCUACAGACAGCAAAGGUUCUCGGUUAAAAACACAACUUGGAAAACAAGACACCGACCAGCUUCUUAAAGGAAACUAAAGAGCCCACGGAACGCGAAGCUGCGAGUUCCCAGGUCCCGGGGGGACCGCGGGGGGAACGCGGGUCCAGCAACGGCACCGGACACGGAAACCACACAGAAAUUACACACAGAGCCCCACGGCUGCCCGCUCUGCGCGCCCGCUGCUGCACGGCCCCGCGCGGAGUUCGUGUCUCUGCGGCCGUCCGCUGGCAAUUGCAUAAUAAAUUACAUUCACGGGAAUUCUGCAUUGGAAAUAAAUGACAGAUUCUGCAGAAAUAAUUAGGGUUUUAUUGUUAAAAUGUCUUUAGGAAAGACAAAACAAUUUAAGCUGGACUCCUCUCCUGUUGAGGGACUGUUUGUUCCCAGUCUUGCACCUGAUUGAAUCGCACUGAUUUUAAACCCUAAUUGACAGCAAUGUUGUCACCAGCAUGUGUUCACUCCCCGGGAUCAAAUACUAUUGAGUUUUGACCUCAGAUAGUACAGUGAGGCUCACUUGUCAUGUUUACUCUCAUUUCUAGAUUUACAGUGAUGCGGCAGAAGAAGAAACGGUGGGUUUGGAGCAACAGUGUGAGUUCAGUUUUGAGUCCCCUCUGUCACCGGCCUGACCCCGCGGCCCUGGCGGCACAGCUGGCGCUUGUUUGACAAGACUGUUUGCUGGCGAUAAGCCGAGUUAUUGGGCUAUUUUUUCCUUUGAAAAAAAUGCAGAUCUCAUUAAUUCUGGAGGAUAAAAGCAUCAUAUGCAGAGAAGAAAUGGUGCCGGUGAAUCCAUGCGAUUCCCCGGACACGAGAAGAUAAAACGGCAGCGUGGGUGCAGGUGAGCGGCCGCUUUUUGUGUAAAAUAACAGGUGGACGGUUUGCCACUUUUUGUGGAGUCCAAGGGGAGAGACACGAGCGAAGAUCAGGGCAAAACCCCAACCAGCCCCGGUUUCCAGCGCCGAGGCUGCCCCGAGCUGGGCGGGGGGCGGGAACGCGCCUGUUCUCUGUGUAAUUUCUUUGGGCGGUGAAGCACGCGGGACGGCUGGAGCGCACACCCAGCAACUACAGCUACAAUUAUUUAGUUUCCCUUGAAGAAAUAAGUGAAUAACAGCUCUGGAAAUCAUAAGGCUGAGAACAUCUUUAUGCAUACUGCAUAACAAAAUAAACCCUUUACAUAAGACAGUAAUAAUGCCCAUUAAUGAAUAUACGUAUGGCAGAGAUUUUAAUUCCAUGCAUAUGAUUUAAUAAUCACAGAAAAAAAAAAAAACAUACAAAGAAAAAAAUAAAAAAUAAAACCUGCUUAAGCAUAAUGAAAAUUCCUUUUGCAUUGCACUUGAGGAGAUGGGCACGAGCCGGGCGGCCCGGACCCUGCCUGCGCAACUGGUUCUUGCUCCCAACACUUGGACAUUGUCCCAGUAAUUCUACUCCUUUCGUAUUUAUUCUUGGUUUUUUUGUACCUAAAACAUAUAUAUGAACUUCUCCGUUAAUGCUCACAGUUAUUAUAAUGGCUAUUAUAAUGGUUUCAAGCAAACAGCUCUUGUUUAAAAAAACAAAACAACUCUCUAAUGUACUGUAAGUAAAUACGAUAAUUUUGGGAUUGGAAGCCGCUUUCUCUCUACUGGGAAGUAAUUUUUAAUCUUACAUAGUUUGCAUUAAUGUCCAAAAGCAAAUGAAGAUGACUGGAAAUGCGUUUCUUUGUUGAGAAUAACUUGUGUGUGAUGAUGCAUACGUGGGGUGGUUGAUUUUGUUUCCCCUUUUGUUCUUUAAAGUGUCAGCGUUGCCUAUAGAAGCUGCUGAGAGGAAAACUGAGCUGGAAGGCACAUCUGCAGCCCCAGGUCCCGUCUUCACUUGCCGCUGAUGAGCCCGAGCGUGUCAGAGGGGAGAGUUCACGGGGGAGAAUCGCUUUCUCUGCCUCCAACAACGCGACGUUGCGCUCUCCUCGGGCACGGAGAUCCCGACCGCCGGUUCAUCACACAAGCAGGUGAAUACUGAAUUUGUGGUAAAAUGGUGCAACAAAGAUGAGUUUUCCAGAAAACUGAAAGCUGAAGUAAAGAUUUCAGAAUGACUUCAAAACGCACGUGUCUUCUGCUUUAUUUCUCAACACACUCAACCGAUCACCCAUUUCCUCCUUUAUUUCCUCCUUUCCUUUCCUGAAGUGCUCUUGGCUGGAGUGAGUCUCUUGAACGCACCAAUUCAUGGAGACGGCUCUAGAAAAGGUGGCGAUUCGCAAACCCUGAAUCUGUAAGGCCGGGUUUAUCUUCCCAAAGCAUCGAUCCUCCCCUCCCCCCCGCGCGGUCCCACAUCUUCCCUUCUCCUCCGAUUGGGACGGAAAUGACGACAAUUCUCCCGAGGACAAAAUCAACUUUGAAAAGCACUCAAUCCUCAUCCAGCCCCGUGACGGGAUGAAAACUGCGCGGGCUUCCUCGACGGCUGCAAAACUGCUCACGAAAUGGCAUCAUCACCAGAGGGUUCUGUGUCGAGAAUCCCAAAGCCUAUAACAAGUCAUUAAAAAUUGUGCAUCGAAGGGUUUUUUUGU
RNAcentral lists this long non-coding RNA (2711 nucleotides) under Columba livia (rock pigeon). Its description in RNAcentral is "partial uncharacterized LOC102088658, transcript variant X6". Lineage: Eukaryota; Metazoa; Chordata; Aves; Columbiformes; Columbidae. The record is from RNAcentral.